This 301-nucleotide ribosomal RNA is filed under the name uncultured bacterium. Its description in RNAcentral is "partial 16S ribosomal RNA". It matches the Rfam family "Bacterial small subunit ribosomal RNA", at positions 509 to 809 of the family's 1533-position model. The record is from RNAcentral.
CAGUAGCCGCGGUAAAACGUAGGUGGCAAGCGUUGUCCGGAAUUAUUGGGCGUAAAGCGCGCGCAGGCGGAUCAGUCAGUCUGUCUUAAAAGUUCGGGGCUUAACCCCGUGAUGGGAUGGAAACUGCUGAUCUAGAGUAUCGGAGAGGAAAGUGGAAUUCCUAGUGUAGCGGUGAAAUGCGUAGAUAUUAGGAAGAACACCAGUGGCGAAGGCGACUUUCUGGACGAAAACUGACGCUGAGGCGCGAAAGCCAGGGGAGCGAACGGGAUUAGAUACCCGAGUAGUCCCUGUCUCUUAUACA